Curvularia kusanoi is the source of this 104-nucleotide non-coding RNA. NCBI's taxonomy places the organism in Eukaryota, Fungi, Ascomycota, Dothideomycetes, Pleosporales, Pleosporaceae. The record is from the annotation of a GenBank genome assembly.
GGCCUGGUGGUCUAGUGGUAUGAUUGUCGCUUCGGGUGUUUCUAAGCCUGAGAUAUUGUUAUCUUGCAUGUGACAGGCCCCGGGUUCGAAUCCCGGCCAGGCCC